GGUGAGAUGGCUCAGCUGGUAAGAGUACCAAACUGCUCUUCUGAAGGUUCUGGGUUCAAAUCCCAGCAACCA
RNAcentral lists this transfer RNA (72 nucleotides) under Mus musculus (house mouse). It matches the Rfam family "tRNA". Rfam says of the family: Transfer RNA (tRNA) molecules are approximately 80 nucleotides in length. Their secondary structure includes four short double-helical elements and three loops (D, anti-codon, and T loops). Further hydrogen bonds mediate the characteristic L-shaped molecular structure. tRNAs have two regions of fundamental functional importance: the anti-codon, which is responsible for specific mRNA codon recognition, and the 3' end, to which the tRNAs corresponding amino acid is attached (by aminoacyl-tRNA synthetases). tRNAs cope with the degeneracy of the genetic code in two manners: having more than one tRNA (with a specific anti-codon) for a particular amino acid; and 'wobble' base-pairing, i.e. permitting non-standard base-pairing at the 3rd anti-codon position. The record is from Rfam by way of RNAcentral. Lineage: Eukaryota; Metazoa; Chordata; Mammalia; Rodentia; Muridae.